UUCUUUAAUAUUAAAAGAUAGGGCCUGCCCACUGAAUUUAAAGGGCCGCAGGAUUUAACUGUGCUAAGGUAGCAUAAUAAUUAGUUUUUUAAUUAGAAAAUAGAAUGAACGGUUUAAUAAUUUGGGGUUUUAAUAAGUUUAAAAAUUGAAAUUAAAAUAAAAGUGAAAAUGCUUUUUUAAUUCUAUGGGACGAUAAGACCCUAUAGAUCUAAGUGUAAAAUAUUUAUAUUGAAUUGGUGAAAAAUAGAAUUAAAUUAUACUUUACUGGGGUGGUAAAAGAAUAAGAAAAACUUCUAAUAGAGCAGAUAGUCUUGAAUUUUGGAUUAUAAAAAGAUACCUUAGGGAUAACAGCGUAAUUAAAUUGGAGAGAUCUUAUCAAUAAUUUAGAUUGCGACCUCGAUGUUGAAUUAAAGGGUUUUUAUUUGGCAGCAUGAAUAAAAAAUAGUCUGUUCGACUAUUAAAACUUUACA
RNAcentral lists this ribosomal RNA (470 nucleotides) under Megalothorax sp. EA040004-cs23. Its description in RNAcentral is "partial 16S ribosomal RNA". It matches the Rfam family "Bacterial large subunit ribosomal RNA", at positions 1826 to 2600 of the family's 2925-position model. Lineage: Eukaryota; Metazoa; Arthropoda; Collembola; Neelipleona; Neelidae. The record is from RNAcentral.